UGGGAAGUGGGUGCAUUUCCAAAUGUUGUGCUGGGUGGCAGCCUUUGAGCAGUGGCGGUGUUUGUUUUGCACUUGUAUCCUCAGGGCUACAAAGAACAGAACUACUCUGCAGCAAAGCUCUUCUGGAUGACCUUGGAGUUGUCAGACUUUCAGAAGUCUGCUGGGAUGAUUUGCGAGGAGUCUUUGAAAGUGAACCUGGAAAGCUUUUCACAGGGCUUUCAAUUCUGAAGAAUCCUGCUUCAAAAACCACUUUUUCUACUUCUGGUUGCUUAUCCUGAUAUGCACUAUCAGCAGCUCCAUCAUGCUUCAUUUUAUCCCUCAUAGCUGCUUUUACAGCAGCAAGCCGGCUUCGGGCAGCAGUCCUUCCAGCUGCACCCAGCUUUGGUUUACAUACCAUAUUUGGAACAGGCUUUUUCUUGACAACUUCUUUGCCUGGUACAGCAACUGGUUGCCAUUUGUUAUCUUGAAGCUUCUGCAGAUCAUCAAAUUUCUUAUUCACAUCUUCAAUCUGAAAAUUAAUCAUAUCCCAAAAUCCAUCUAAGUCUGUACAUGUUGUUUCCUUUUCACCCCGCUUAAAUUCACAGUUAUCCACCAGUCCUUCAAACUGUUUAAACCUUUCUGCUAUAAGCAGUCUUGUCUGACCAACUGUUGUGCAAAUGAGAUCUUCGGCAUCCUCUGGAAUGCCCAGCUCAAGUUUUC
RNAcentral lists this long non-coding RNA (699 nucleotides) under Gallus gallus (chicken). The record is from RNAcentral. Lineage: Eukaryota; Metazoa; Chordata; Aves; Galliformes; Phasianidae.